This is a long non-coding RNA of Zingiber officinale, 1316 nucleotides long. RefSeq lists it as uncharacterized. The record is from RefSeq and is a predicted model, not a curated record. Lineage: Eukaryota; Viridiplantae; Streptophyta; Magnoliopsida; Zingiberales; Zingiberaceae. The transcript is spliced from 5 exons.
CCUCAUCUCAUGCUUAUCUUCCCGAACCCCUCUCACAACUCCUCAUCUCAUGCCUAUCUUCCCGAACCCCUCUCACGCCCUCUCCUUCCAACUCCUCUCACGUCCUCUCCAUCCAACUCCUCUCCAACAAACCCCUCUCCGGCAAACUCCUCUCUGCGAACCUCCUCUCCUCUGAAUUCCUUCACCUCUUCGUCAAAUAGCAAAUGCCCUAAUCACUCCGCUCUUGGAUCGCCACCCUCCGCACUUGGCCUCCUCUUUGGAAGAUCGAUAUUUGCAGCUCGGGUUUGCGAAGGCGGAAAGCGGUACGGAUGAUGGAGAAUCGCAGAGCAUAUGAAAGGAAAAGGGAAACGGGUCGUCUCUUUGCUUCCUCGUCGCUCGCUCUGCCACCACGCGAGGCGAGCAAGGCUGAUCCGUUCGUGCUUUCUUCCCCGAGUUAGAUCUCAUCCUUGAUCGAGCCGAGAGCCCUUUGGGUGCGAUUCGAGGCAACACAAUUAUGGAUGAUAUCGCAUCCAUUACCAUUUUUGACUGAAGCAGCUUGUUGUUUGAUGAUCUGCCGGAACUUGAGAUUUUGAGUGCUCAGUUAAAAUAAUUUUUGAAACUCCGUACUAAUGUCCUGUGGAAUUUGUAGGAGCGAUAUGUGGCAAUGGCAGGAAGAAGAAGAAUGUUGCCUGCCAACAUAUUUCCAAUUUGCUUUACUUCUAUGGGAUGAUAUGAUGGGAAAUCAAACUCCACUUCGAGGAUUUGGUGAUUUCGACUUAGACGAAUUGGAUUUUGGAGAUGAGGUCGAGAAGGGCGUGGAGGAAGCAAACGGGGCAUCAAGAGUGAAAAGGCGUCAUGUUCUAAAUUUUUUUUUCUGAUGAUGAUGGUGCCACAGCCGUCAAUGAGCAUUUGUCCUCUGAAGUAGUUUGUUCCAAGACUGUUACUUCAGUUAGAUAAAUUAGAUUCAUCUUAAUACUUUAUUCAAAUUAGGCUAAAGCAUCCACUUGAUGCGUUUGAUUUUUUUACUUUAGGUUCAGGAGGACUCGACAUCAGCAAAAAUAUGCACACAAAAUUUACAGUCGAAUCUCACGUGUUCAGAUACACGGUGGUAGGUGUUUUGUUCCAGUCUCAAGCCGUCAAUCCAUUUUGAUCAAUAUAUCUAGUAGAAGUAAGCAUGCAGAUUGUUGUCUUAGAGGCCGGCUAGCUAUUUUGUGCUUUUUUUUUGUUUUAAAUUUGAAUAUCACUAACUACUUUGAAACAUAAAUAUUUAAUCUUUUUGUAUAGUUGAAUUCUCCUGUAAAUACUAAUACUUUGUAAUUGAAUUCUAUUGUUUGGUA